Molecule: long non-coding RNA, 740 nt
Organism: Scophthalmus maximus (turbot)
Lineage: Eukaryota; Metazoa; Chordata; Actinopteri; Pleuronectiformes; Scophthalmidae
Exons: 3
Source: RefSeq, a predicted model, not a curated record
CGGAGGAGGAGGAGGAGCGUCAGCGGCACCGGGACCGGUCCGCGGGGCGCACAAGGCGGCGGCACUCGGCCCAGCUCCGGCACAUCGCGCUGCUGAGACCGGAGGCUGUGAGCCUGUGCUGCCUCGACAUCACAACGUUUGACUCCACCUGAAGUCAUGGACGAGCGACGGCUGUUUUCAUUUGUUCCUGCGCUCCGACGCUGCGCAAAAAGUGGCGACUUUCUAUGGGUGAGGAGGCUGCAAAGUUUCCAGACUGAGCUUCGAACCAGAGCUGCUGUUUCAGUGAAAUGAAGCGCCUCCGGCCGGAUUGAAGCCCCGCCGGGGUCCUCGGGGUCCGGCUGCUCCUGUCGCUCCCAGCGGCCUGUUCCACACGGCCUGGUCAGCGUCGAACAAACACCGCAGCAGCCGAGAGAGGAAUUCUGUCAUUACAACGGCUCACCAGAAUGGAUUGACUGUAUCCCGAUGUUUAGUGGAGGACUGGUUCGCACUGUACAGCAGCUGUUGUCACGUUCAUGCCAUGGGUUUUCCUUUUUUGUCUUUUCAUUGAACGUGUUAUUAGAUUUGAUGAUAUGAGCUGUUUUUAGACCAAUCCAAGACAUAUGACCAAGAAAGGAUUUUUAUAUUUUAUUUCAUUUUUUCAUUUUUAUAUAACCAGGGCUUUCCUGUCAUUGAGUCAAACUCAACACUGUAUGACCUCCGUGGUGGAGGAAAUAAAAGAUUCUGUUUUGUCUUAGAGCUCA